Long non-coding RNA from Stegodyphus dumicola, 497 nucleotides. The record is from RefSeq and is a predicted model, not a curated record. Lineage: Eukaryota; Metazoa; Arthropoda; Arachnida; Araneae; Eresidae.
CAAUUUUUUCUCCUUUUAGAUUCUUCCCUAUAGUUAUCCUAUUCAUUUACAUUGUUUUACUGAUUCUUGGACAUGGGCCAAGAAGUGGCUGGAAGCAUUUCCUAAUCUUUGCAAUGGUAUAACAAAUAUUGUUACAUUUCCAUCUGCAGAAUCAGUACAUGAAGUAGGAAGAAAUAUUCCUCUAAAUCGUUUGCUGUUAGAAACAGAUGCUCCUUAUUUUGUGCCAAAAGUGAUAUCCAAAGGAAGACUAUUUUCUCAUCCUGGUAUGGCCAUACAUGUUGCUGCUCAAAUUGCUGCUUUGAAAAAUAUUUCUAUGGAAAAAGUUCUUCAGGCCACUUCUGCAAAUACAAAAAGAAUAUAUCGUUUGUAAUAAACAUAGAAAUCACAUUUAUAGGUAGAUUUUAAUUGUGCAUUUACGUUCUAGUAUAGAACAUGAUUUUAUUUGUAUAGUUGAUAAAAUGUACAUAAGCUAAUAAAUAAUUUGUUGUUACUAAAAA